UUAUUUCUCCUCACUCAUGCUAUGUACUCUAGAUGCUAGAGCAUCACUCUCUCCUCUUCAUAACUUCUCAAUCAAGUGCCAAAAUGUAUUUUUCCCAUAGAUCAAUUAUUCUCUUCAAGACUUCAUUUUAAUUACCCAAGUGGUUAAGAAUUGGGAGAAACCUUAAAACCAAAAUAAAACCCCAAACAAUAACUUUCUCUCUCCUCUGAUUUUAUACCCCGUAAUUUGCAUGUUCAAUUUCUGUAUCCUGGAGUCAAAAUUUGCCAAAACUUAUUACAUGAAAAUUGUAGAUCUCGAAAAGUUAUUGAACUUAGACUCAAAAAUCACUUGAUUUGGAGUUCGGAGCUAUGAGUUAUGGUCCUUGCAAGUUUGGUGUUGCUACCUUCAUUUCUCUCUCCUCUGUUUUUAUUCCGACAAUCUGUUGCCCCAAUUAUCUACAACAUGCAAUCCAAUUUUGCUCUUUAUUGCUGAAUCAAAGUUGUAUAUAACUUCGAGUUAAUGAAUUUGGGCACAAAAAUCACUUGAUUUGGAGUUCGGAGCUAUGACUUAUGGUCUUUUUGUAGAUCACUUCGAGCUAAUGAAUUUGGGCACAAAAAUCGCUCAAUUCGGAGUUCGGAGCUAUGAGUUACGCCUUAUACAAGUUCAGCACUGCUGCUGUACUUUGUGUUGCGUUGCUGCCGUGGUUGGCAUUGUUUUCCCAUGUUGUCAUUGCUAACUUGCUUGCCUUGUUGCUGCCAUUGGUUGGUAUUCCUUUCCAUAUGAAGGUCGUUGUUGGAGUAUCUAUAUGGAGAUAAAUUAUGAAGUUCGAGCUAUAGUGGUUAUCCAAAAUGUCGAGUUAUUGGGAUUGUUUCAAGGUACACACAUGUCCUUCCACCUUUGAAUCUAUAUUCGUGUUUUAUGUGAUUUCAUGUGCUGAGCUUAAUAAGCCUUUUAUAUAAAUUCAAAAUUAUUCAAAGUGUUAUUUGUGAGUUUACAAGAAUUGUUAACUACAUAUUUGGUUUUAAGCUAUGAGCGAAAGCUAUAUAUGUGAUGAGUUUUACUGAGUGAUAUUUCUAUGAAGAACUGAUUGGAGGUAGUUGAAUCCUUCAAUAAUAUAGAUGUGUGAUAUUAUUAAACUCACUUGUUCCCACAUCGAAUUUAUAAUAAGCUUCUUAUGCUUAGUAAGUUGAUCUUUUAUAUGAAAAUGCAGCUAUGAGAAUUAA
Molecule: long non-coding RNA, 1202 nt
Organism: Beta vulgaris subsp. vulgaris (sugar beet)
Lineage: Eukaryota; Viridiplantae; Streptophyta; Magnoliopsida; Caryophyllales; Amaranthaceae
Exons: 3
Source: RefSeq, a predicted model, not a curated record